AAAACAGGUUUAAUUUGUUCUUAAUGUGCUUAAGUACAAGUGUAAAUUAUAUUUAAUUUUAAUCUUAAUUUUAUAUGUGUUUUGUCAUAGCCAAAGCAAAACAUUGCACCUUCGAAAUGGCUUUUAUUCAAACUUAAGUUGUUACUCUUUUUAGGUGUCUAGUAGGUUUACCCAAAUAAAGGUACUUAAUAGCCCUAUAAAUUAUCUUCAAUGAAGCCUGAAACUAAUUAAGGUAGAAGGAUUAUGAUCUAUUUGAAACACUGCCAAAUGCCAAAGAAGUUUGUGUCCUAGAUCUAAAAACAGGAAAACUAACAUAUCAUGAGCAAAAAAAGGCACCAGACAUAUCUGCUUUGCACCCUCACACACAACAAAAACAACUGCUUGUGUGGACUACAAUUUAUAGCUGUUGUACUACAAGGUUUUCUAGGUGCCCUCUAUUUUAAUAUAUAAGCCCGGCAAAUAAAG
This is a long non-coding RNA of Limulus polyphemus (Atlantic horseshoe crab), 465 nucleotides long. RefSeq lists it as uncharacterized. The record is from RefSeq and is a predicted model, not a curated record. The transcript is spliced from 3 exons. Lineage: Eukaryota; Metazoa; Arthropoda; Merostomata; Xiphosura; Limulidae.